Non-coding RNA from Pelobates cultripes (western spadefoot toad), 221 nucleotides. Lineage: Eukaryota; Metazoa; Chordata; Amphibia; Anura; Pelobatidae. The record is from the annotation of a GenBank genome assembly.
AUUAAUUGAAGAAGAAAAGUUACUUCCAUAUUCGAUUAAAGAACUGUUAUGGUUACCUCGUAAUUUGCGCCCUAAAAUCAGGAAAAUACUCCCCACAACCAGGACAACGUUAAAGACUUGGGAUAUAAUGUUUAGGCAGAUAAAGGGAACGCUUUUGUGGUCCAGAGCCAUGCCAGUAUCGAUUUUAAAAUAUGAUACUCCUGGGGCUGAUGUUGAUUUCU